This 875-nucleotide ribosomal RNA is filed under the name uncultured Candidatus Nitrosopumilus sp. Its description in RNAcentral is "bacterial SSU rRNA". It matches the Rfam family "Archaeal small subunit ribosomal RNA", at positions 21 to 903 of the family's 1478-position model. Lineage: Archaea; Thermoproteati; Nitrososphaerota; Nitrososphaeria; Nitrosopumilales; Nitrosopumilaceae. The record is from RNAcentral.
CCUGACUGCUAUCGGAUUGAUACUAAGCCAUGUGAGUCAUUGCAGCAAUGCAAGGCAGACGGCUCAGUAACACGUAGUCAACCUACCCUAUAGACGGGGAUAACCUCGGGAAACUGAGGAUAAACCCCGAUAGAUCAUUAUGCCUGGAACGGUUUAUGGUCCAAAUGAUUCGUCGCUAUAGGAUGGGACUGCGGCCUAUCAGCUUGUUGGUGAGGUAAUGGCCCACCAAGGCUAUUACAGGUACGGGCUCUGAGAGGAGAGGCCCGGAGAUGGGUACUGAGACACGGACCCAGGUCCUAUGGGGCGCAGCAGGCGAGAAAACUUUGCAAUGUGCGCAAGCACGACAAGGUUAAUCCGAGUGAUUCCUGCUAAAGGAAUCUUUUGUUAGUUGUAAAACCACUUAUGAAUAAGGGGUGGGCAAGUUCUGGUGUCAGCCGCCGCGGUAAAACCAGCACCUCAAGUGGUCAGGAGGAUUAUUGGGCCUAAAGCAUCCGUAGCCUGCUUUGUAAGUUUUCGGUUAAAUCCAUCAGCUCAACUGAUGGGCCGCCGAAAAAACUGCAAAGCUAGGGAGUGGGAGAGGUAGACGGUACUCGAUAGGAAGGGGUAAAAUCCUUUGAUCUAUUGAUGACCCCCUGUGGCGAAGGCGGUCUACCAGAACACGUUCGACGGUGAGGGAUGAAAGCUGGGGGAGCAAACCGGAUUAGAUACCCGGGUAGUCCCAGCUGUAAACGAUGCAGACUCGGUGAUGCCCUGGCUUGUGGCCAGUGCAGUGCCGCAGGGAAGCCGUUAAGUUUGCCGCCUGGGAAGUACGUACGCAAGUAUGAAACUUAAAGGAAUUGGCGGGGGAGCACCACAAGGGGUGAAGCCUGCGGUUC